CCUACGGGAGGCAGCAGUGAGGAAUAUUGGUCAAUGGGCGCGAGCCUGAACCAGCCAAGUCGCGUGAAGGAAGACGGUCCUAUGUAUUGUAAACCUCUUUUGUCGGGGAACAAAAGCCGACACGCGUCUCGUUCCGAGAGUACCCGAAGAAAAAGCAUCGGCUAACUCCGUGCCAGCAGCCGCGGUAAUACGGAGGAUGCGAGCGUUAUCCGGAUUUAUUGGGUUUAAAGGGUGCGCAGGCGGCAGAUCAAGUCAGCGGUAAAAUUUCGAGGCUCAACCCCGUCGAGCCGUUGAAACUGGUUGUCUAGAGUGGGCGAGAAGUAUGCGGAAUGCGUGGUGUAGCGGUGAAAUGCAUAGAUAUCACGCAGAACUCCGAUUGCGAAGGCAGCAUACCGGCGCUAUACUGACGCUGAGGCACGAAAGUGUGGGGAUCGAACAGGAUUAGAUACCCGGGUAGUC
Molecule: ribosomal RNA, 459 nt
Filed under: uncultured bacterium
Lineage: Bacteria
Description: partial 16S ribosomal RNA
Rfam family: Bacterial small subunit ribosomal RNA
Source: RNAcentral